This 478-nucleotide ribosomal RNA is filed under the name uncultured bacterium. RNAcentral describes it as "bacterial SSU rRNA". It matches the Rfam family "Bacterial small subunit ribosomal RNA", at positions 28 to 509 of the family's 1533-position model. The record is from RNAcentral.
GAUGAACGCUAGCGGCAGGCUUAACACAUGCAAGUCGAGGGGUAAGGUAGCAAUAUCUGAGACCGGCGCACGGGUGCGUAACGCGUAUGCAAUCUACCUUUCACAGAGGGAUAGCCCAGAGAAAUUUGGAUUAAUACCUCAUAGUAUAAUGAUUUGGCAUCAAGACAUUAUUAAAGUCACAACGGUGAAAGAUGAGCAUGCGUCCCAUUAGCUAGUUGGUAUGGUAACGGCAUACCAAGGCGACGAUGGGUAGGGGUCCUGAGAGGGAGAUCCCCCACACUGGUACUGAGACACGGACCAGACUCCUACGGGAGGCAGCAGUGAGGAAUAUUGGACAAUGGGCGCAAGCCUGAUCCAGCCAUGCCGCGUGCAGGAAGACGGUCCUAUGGAUUGUAAACUGCUUUUGUACAGGAAGAAACACUCCCUCGUGAGGGAGCUUGACGGUACUGUAAGAAUAAGGAUCGGCUAACUCCGUGCC